Molecule: long non-coding RNA, 1322 nt
Filed under: Fragaria vesca (wild strawberry)
Lineage: Eukaryota; Viridiplantae; Streptophyta; Magnoliopsida; Rosales; Rosaceae
Description: long non-coding RNA (FVES_LNC002268)
Source: RNAcentral
CUUUACCUAAGAGGACACUUAGGACAGCUGAUAGCUUGGGCGAUGCAUCACAUGGGCAGCUGCCAACUUGGUUUUUGAAUCAUAAAACCCAGCUAGUUCCCAAAGGCUCAAGUUAUGUGGUCACGGGUUGGUUUGCCACACCACCCUAGACUAACUUGGAGCUCAAGUACGAAUAGACUAAUGUUUUGCUAAAAGGUAUUUGAAUUUCAAACACUUAAAAACUAAAGCAAACACAUUUGAAUAUGCACAUGGUCAGACCCAGUAGAUAGAACAGAUACAGCAGGGGUAUCCGUUUAAUCGGGAUGGCAAGCACAGCUGCCAUCCUUAGUGAAUGAAUGUGAUGCACAUGCAUGAACUACCUGAUGCACAUGAGAUCUGUCAGGUUCUUCAUUCUUCACUUGAGUAGUCCUUGCUACCAGAUUACAACAUGUAGCAUGUAUCCUUGUGUUUUGAUCAUAAAGGAAUAGCCAACAAUUCUUGUACCAGUUGACCAAAAAAAAACAAUUCUUGUACCAACAAUCUCCCCCUUUGGCAUUCCUGAUCAAAACACACCUUCAAAGGUUGUGCUGGUUCUAAACAUAAGAAUAGACUAAACACCUGCACAAACAUCUCAAGAACAAGUGAAGGUAUGGAGGGCCAAAAAAAAACUCUUAUGAAACACAAGCUGUGGGAUACCAAGACAAUCAUGCAUCAUAACCAACAGAAUAGCAUAAACAACAAACAACAUAAGUCAAGAAUUUAACCACACAGCAUUCAUAAAUAAUUCAGAGUUUUGACAACAUAAGCCCUACAACUAGUUCUCCCCCUUUUUGGCAGUGAAUGCCAAAGGGAAACAGAUGUUCAACAUAAAAACAACCUACAUCCGAGAAUGGAUAAAACAACAUUUAUGCAGAGAACCACAACAGAAAACCUAAGUAGAAGCAUCCUCAUCAUCACUGGGCUCCCUGCGGAUCACAUCAUCAUCACUCUCACUUUCCUUAUCAUCAGGAUCAGAGGAGGCACGCGUAUCCUGAGAAGAAGCAGUGGAAGAACCAGAGGCAUCCUCAUUUCUGCAGCGCUCAAACUCCCUUAAGAUCUCAGGCAUCUCCUUCUUGAAGUUGUAGAACUGACGUCCAACAUAGUCCCUAAAACCAAUGACUGCCUCCUCGCAUUGCCUUGUCCACAAUGAGCUUGAUCUCCUUUUUCAGCAAGGUCUGCUCCAAAGACUCCACAUAUAACCCGGACUGAGCAGCGGAUUUGGCAAUUGUGACACGGUCAACAGGGUUGACAGGCAGAGCAAGAGCAUCAUCUCCAUGGAAUGGGACAUUGCUCUUGAUGNNNNN